AUUGCUUCUUGGCCUUUGGGCUAAGAUCAAGUGUAGUAUCUGUUCUUAUCAGAAGAGGGUUCCAAAACCCAUGAGAUGGGAUAAUGACACCAAGAAGUUGAUGCAGUUAGAAAUGAGAAGUUCA
Molecule: small nuclear RNA, 124 nt
Filed under: Cervus hanglu yarkandensis (Yarkand deer)
Lineage: Eukaryota; Metazoa; Chordata; Mammalia; Artiodactyla; Cervidae
Description: U2 spliceosomal RNA (ENSCHYG00000019952.1)
Rfam family: U2 spliceosomal RNA
About the family: U2 is a small nuclear RNA (snRNA) component of the spliceosome (involved in pre-mRNA splicing). Complementary binding between U2 snRNA (in an area lying towards the 5' end but 3' to hairpin I) and the branchpoint sequence (BPS) of the intron results the bulging out of an unpaired adenosine, on the BPS, which initiates a nucleophilic attack at the intronic 5' splice site, thus starting the first of two transesterification reactions that mediate splicing.
Source: RNAcentral